UUUUAAGCUAAAUGAUCAGCAAAACAAGCCAGCCUAUCUAUCUAUUCGCAAUCUACGCGUGCGUUUCGAAAAUCGUUUUUGAAACCCCAGGUGCACGUCUGUAUACUGUUGACAAUGAACAAACCACCGAUCGACAGAAAGAGGCAAGCGAUGAACGGGAGGGGCGAAAAUACAAAGGCAGAAACAGAAAUGCUGAGCGGAGUACGGAGGAAGGGAGUCUGCGGAAAGAACUAGGCAGCUAUCACACGGACAAAGCGCCGGCUUGAAUCACGACCUUAACUAAAAAACGUUCGACAAACCUUAAAGGAGCCGCCACUUUCAAAAAAAAACUCUAUAAAAAUAACAAUCCAAGGUACUCAUCCCCUAUAAACAGGGAACUUCUUGAUUCUGAACGUUUACUCCCCGUACCUACUGCACGCACUCUAUACGCAACUGGAGUUGCUUCAGCAGACUCAUGUAUGGGGCGUGACCUCUCUUCGCAAAAACAUACGGUAGUUCAAGUGUACCUACUUCAACUAUACGUACGGAUGUGUGCCUAUGGAUUCUAACAGUUCACAGCUGGAGUUCGGCCCACAAUGGAAGAUGAGGCAAGGAUCGUAGCACACGCCCCCUUUAACGUCACACACAGCCG
This 631-nucleotide long non-coding RNA is filed under the name Varroa destructor (honeybee mite). RNAcentral describes it as "uncharacterized LOC111253453, transcript variant X1". Lineage: Eukaryota; Metazoa; Arthropoda; Arachnida; Mesostigmata; Varroidae. The record is from RNAcentral.